Molecule: long non-coding RNA, 359 nt
Organism: Mauremys reevesii (Reeves's turtle)
Lineage: Eukaryota; Metazoa; Chordata; Testudines; Geoemydidae
Exons: 3
Source: RefSeq, a predicted model, not a curated record
GUGAUUUCAUUCCAGAAAUGCCCAACUGGCCAGAAAGAGCAGAACAGGGAGACCUAAGGAUGCGGAUUUCAUGCAGCUGGCCCAGGGGCUAAGUCCUGAAGUUUGAAACCAUGUUCAAAAAAUGGAAUCCACAAUCCAGAUCCAACCUAAGCAGGCCCUCUAAGUUUUUACACAGCUUUUGAAUGAAUCAUCUGGCAGUAGACUGGAGAAGAGGGUGUAGCUAGCACAGCUACGAACUGCCUCUGCAAACUGCUGCCAGGAAAUAGCCCAUAUGUAGCAGAAUUGUGGAAGAGACUGCUAUCAGAAAGAAAAUUACCAGCUGCAAAUUUUUCAAGCCUCCCUACUCAGUCCCGAAGGCU